This 346-nucleotide ribosomal RNA is filed under the name uncultured bacterium. RNAcentral's name for it is "partial 16S ribosomal RNA". It matches the Rfam family "Bacterial small subunit ribosomal RNA", at positions 338 to 681 of the family's 1533-position model. The record is from RNAcentral.
CCUACGGGAGACAGCAGUGAGGAAUAGUGGUCAAUGGGCGGAAGCCUGAACCAGCCAAGUAGCGUGCAGGAUGACGGCCCUACGGGUUGUAAACUGCUUUUAUACGGGAAUAACGCGCCUUACGUGUAGGGCUUUGCAUGUACCGUAUGAAUAAGGACCGGCUAAUGCCGUGCCAGCAGCCGCGGUAAUACGGAAGGUCCGGGCGUUCUCCGGAUUUAUUGGGGUUACAGGGAGCGUAGGCCGCAUGUCAAGCGUGCUGGGAAAUGUCCGGGCUCAACCCGGGCCUUGCAGCGCGAACUGGCGUGCUUUCGUCCGCUGCACGCAGGCGGACUUCGUCGUGUAGCGG